This is a long non-coding RNA of Pogona vitticeps (central bearded dragon), 1446 nucleotides long. RefSeq lists it as uncharacterized. The record is from RefSeq and is a predicted model, not a curated record. Lineage: Eukaryota; Metazoa; Chordata; Lepidosauria; Squamata; Agamidae.
GAACAGAGUGCUUUUCUAUCAGCUAGCUCUCUGUAUAAUAAUCCUUUGCUUUUCUCUAUCAAGGCUCGCAACUUCAAAGGCUUUUAUUACAGAUAAAUCAAGGUAUCAUUUCUCUGCCCUUUGAAGGACAGCCGGGGGAAUUUUUGGCACGCUGCAGCUUUCUUUUUUGUAUGCAGCUUUGCAUGUUUUCUUCCAUUGGCAUCAUUUCUUAACCUCAAAGAGGGCUGUGGUCACCUGGAAUAUGGAACACAGCCACUAAAAGAGAAGCAUCCCUUCUAACAAGGAUCAGGAUACUGAAGAAGAAAGGCUAUAUUGGACCAAAAGCUCUGCAGACAUAUUGUGUGCAUGUUUUCCAAAAAAUCUCCCUUUCUUUUGGAAUUUUUUUUAAAAAGAGGCGAGGUUGGAGUUACUAAAGAGUAUCAGUAGAAACUAAAGUCACAAUCAUCCAUGCUAUGUGAAAGAAAGACAGUGAAGAAAGACAGGGACAAAAAUCAAUUCAUUUGAAUUUUGUUGGAGGAGAGCUGUACAUGAAAGACAGCCAGAAAAGUACAAAAGUGGGUGCUGAAUAAAGUAAAGCCUGAACUCUCACUAAAAUGAGUAACCUGAGCCUAUCCUACCUUGCACAUAUAACAGAAAUACAGAAGUAACCAGAAUAGACUACAUUGCUGCGAAAAGUGGGGUGAAGCAAAAAGAAACAAGGAAGAGCUAACAAAAGAUGGGUUUACUCAACUGAUGAAGUUGCAGCUGUUAGUUUGCAAGAUUUGAGCAGAACUUAUUGGAAAAGAUAAUAUUGUUAGAAGGGGGCAGUAGGAGGAGGAGACAAGCUAAUCUGAGAGCUAAUUUGAGAGAAAACAAGCUAAUCUCUACUUUUUUGGAUACAGUGGAUCAAGCAGAGAUGUCCACCACUCUGCCUUGCCCAAUGAGUCUUGAUCUUUUUCAGCCUAUGACACCAGACAUUGUUGCCAAAGCACUUGAUUGCUGUCAGGCCACCACCUCAUCCCUUGACCCUUGUCUGGCCUGGCUAAUCAAAGCAGCCAGGCCUAUAACAACUGAAUGGGCCACAGCAAUAAUUAAUUAGUCUUUCCGUCAGGGAUCACCCACUGUGACCUAAGAAACAGUAUGUGCUCCUCCCUUAUUGUUACUCCCUCCCUUUCUCCCAGCCAUCUAAGCUGGGAUGGUGAUCCUGCUGAGUCUUGAUCCUGUCUGUGCAGUUGGGUCAAACAACUGCCUCCAGCUCCAGUUGAUUCCAUAUUAGCUUCUCCUAUCUCUUUUUCUCCCCUGGGCAUUUUCAAAAAACAUCUUUAAACCUGGCUAUUUAGGCAAGCCUUCCCUCCGGACACUACUUAAUUUAUCUUUUUAUCUUCCAUCUUGAAUGACUGUUUAUUGUUGUGAAAUUGUUAUAAAAUUGUUGCCAUAUUACAAUUGUUUUUAUUCUACUUGUUGUGA